Otolemur garnettii (small-eared galago) is the source of this 260-nucleotide long non-coding RNA. RefSeq lists it as uncharacterized. The transcript has 3 exons. The record is from RefSeq and is a predicted model, not a curated record. Lineage: Eukaryota; Metazoa; Chordata; Mammalia; Primates; Galagidae.
UUGUGUGACUGUUAUAUGACCUUUCCUCUUUCUUAGCCUUCAGACUGCGUACCUGUUUUUUGUGAGGCUGAUGUGAUAAACUUGAAUACAAAGAUGAACACGUUUGUUGGAGUUGAGAAUGCCACGUCAGUGCACAGAGGUGAAGAAAGUAUAUCUCAGAGGAGUUAGAGAAGACCAACAGCUAAGAGAUGAUAGUGCUAAAGUCAGGACUUCGGAAUCCUGGAAUUUCCAACAGGCUGGAUUUUCUUGAUGGCAUUCUG